RNAcentral lists this ribosomal RNA (397 nucleotides) under uncultured bacterium. RNAcentral describes it as "partial 16S ribosomal RNA". It matches the Rfam family "Bacterial small subunit ribosomal RNA", at positions 523 to 918 of the family's 1533-position model. The record is from RNAcentral.
AUACGUAGGGGGCGAGCGUUGUCCGGAAUGAUUGGGCAUAAAGGGCGCGUAGGCGGCCCGGUAAGUCUGGAGUGAAAGUCCUGUUUUUAAGAUGGGAAUUGCUUUGGAUACUGUCGGGCUUGAGUGCAGGAGAGGUAAGUGGAAUUCCCAGUGUAGCGGUGAAAUGCGUAGAGAUUGGGAGGAACACCAGUGGCGAAGGCGACUUACUGGACUGUAACUGACGCUGAGGCGCGAAAGUGUGGGGAGCAAACAGGAUUAGAUACCCUGGUAGUCCACACUGUAAACGAUGAAUGCUAGGUGUAGGGGGUAUCGACCCCUUCUGUGCCGCAGUCAACACAAUAAGCAUUCCGCCUGGGGAGUACGGCCGCAAGGUUGAAACUCAAAGGAAUUGACGGGG